GACGAACGCUGGCGGCGUGCUUAACACAUGCAAGUCGAACGGAAAGGCCCUGCUUUUGUGGGGUGCUCGAGUGGCGAACGGGUGAGUAACACGUGAGUAACCUGCCCUUGACUUUGGGAUAACUUCAGGAAACUGGGGCUAAUACCGGAUAGGAGCUCCUGCUGCAUGGUGGGGGUUGGAAAGUUUCGGCGGUUGGGGAUGGACUCGCGGCUUAUCAGCUUGUUGGUGGGGUAGUGGCUUACCAAGGCUUUGACGGGUAGCCGGCAUGAGAGGGUGACCGGCCACAUUGGGACUGAGAGACGGCCCAGACUCCUACGGGAGGCAGCAGUGGGGAAUAUUGCACAAUGGGAGGAAGCCUGAUGCAGCAACGCCGCGUGCGGGAUGACGGCCUUCGGGUUGUAAACCGCUUUCGCCUGUGACGAAGCGUGAGUGACGGUAAUGGGUAAAGAAGCACCGGCUAACUACGUG
This 468-nucleotide ribosomal RNA is filed under the name uncultured bacterium. Its description in RNAcentral is "partial 16S ribosomal RNA". It matches the Rfam family "Bacterial small subunit ribosomal RNA", at positions 28 to 507 of the family's 1533-position model. The record is from RNAcentral.